GUUUUAAUAGUUUAAAAAAAACAUCGAUCUUGUAAAUCGAAAAAAGAGUAAUCUUUAAAACU
This 62-nucleotide transfer RNA is filed under the name Cassida denticollis. RNAcentral describes it as "tRNA-Thr". It matches the Rfam family "tRNA". From Rfam's summary of the family: Transfer RNA (tRNA) molecules are approximately 80 nucleotides in length. Their secondary structure includes four short double-helical elements and three loops (D, anti-codon, and T loops). Lineage: Eukaryota; Metazoa; Arthropoda; Insecta; Coleoptera; Chrysomelidae. The record is from RNAcentral.